Molecule: ribosomal RNA, 465 nt
Filed under: uncultured bacterium
Lineage: Bacteria
Description: partial 16S ribosomal RNA
Rfam family: Bacterial small subunit ribosomal RNA
Source: RNAcentral
CCUACGGGCGGCAGCAGUAGGGAAUCUUCCGCAAUGGGCGAAAGCCUGACGGAGCAACGCCGCGUGAGUGAUGAAGGUCUUCGGAUCGUAAAACUCUGUUAUUAGGGAAGAAAAUACGUGUAAGUAACUAUGCUCGUCUUGACGGUACCUAAUCAGAAAGCCACGGCUAACUACGUGCCAGCAGCCGCGGUAAUACGUAGGUGGCAAGCGUUAUCCGGAAUUAUUGGGCGUAAAGGGCGCGGAGGCGGUUUUUUAAGUCUGAUGUGAAAGCCAACGGCUCAAACGGAGAGGGGCAUUGGAAACUGGAAGGCUAGAGUGCAGAAGAGGAAAGUGGAAUGCCAUGUGUAGCGGUGAAAUGCGCAGAUAUAUGGAGGAACACCAGUGGCGAAGGCGACUUUCUGGUCUGUAACUGACGCUGAGGUGCGAAAGCGUGGGGAUCAAACAGGAUUAGAUACCCGAGUAGUC